GUUUCGCUUAAAAGUUUGAGCAGUAAAAAACAAUUUUUCUCACAAACACAAUAUAAAUGUGAAAUGACAAAAGAAUCCUUAUGAGAAGUCUUCAAUCUUGCAUAAGUUCAUGGGAACCUUCCAAUCUGGCUCACUUGAAAAUAGAGCGCAUACGCAUAGGAACAACACGUCAUGCAACAGGCUAAAAAAACAAAAAAACUGAGAAUGACAUUAACAAGGGAACUGGGGGGCAUGUCCAUCAACACAAGACGCAAACACUGUCUGAAAGGCUACAAAAGACAAGUGACCACAAAGGAAACGGCAAAA
Tarenaya hassleriana is the source of this 306-nucleotide long non-coding RNA. RefSeq lists it as uncharacterized. The record is from RefSeq and is a predicted model, not a curated record. The transcript is spliced from 2 exons. Lineage: Eukaryota; Viridiplantae; Streptophyta; Magnoliopsida; Brassicales; Cleomaceae.